RNAcentral lists this ribosomal RNA (117 nucleotides) under Stegodyphus mimosarum. RNAcentral describes it as "5.8S ribosomal RNA". It matches the Rfam family "5.8S ribosomal RNA". Rfam says of the family: 5.8S ribosomal RNA (5.8S rRNA) is a component of the large subunit of the eukaryotic ribosome. It is transcribed by RNA polymerase I as part of the 45S precursor that also contains 18S and 28S rRNA. Lineage: Eukaryota; Metazoa; Arthropoda; Arachnida; Araneae; Eresidae. The record is from Rfam by way of RNAcentral.
AACUCUGAACAGUGGAUCAAUCGGCCCACGGGUCGAUGAAGAACACAGCCAGCUUUCUGACUUGGUGUGCUAUUGUGGUCUUGGGUGAUACUCAGGACCUCGCCUGUCUGAUGGUUG